ACAACCCUAAGGUCCCUUUCUCUCCCUUUAAAUGAACUACUAGCUGGCUCGGACAGAGAGGCCGAGAGUCCAGGUCUGCGGUCUGCGUGGGGCUCUAGGCUCCGAGGAGGCCCCAGGUCCUUAGAAGGCGGCGCCGGGUGAGGCAAUCCCGUACCCGGGUGAGGACCUGCCCGCGGCUCUGCCGGGAUGAGGACCCCAGAACCAGUCCCGCGGCGCAGUAGGCUGCCGAGCGCUACGGACUACAUUUCCCACAAUGCACCCCGGGGGCGGGCCGGGUCGAGCCGAGCGGCUGGAGCUGGGCCUUAGCCGCGAGAGUCCGGCGAAAGCUGUCUUCCUGCACCGGCGGCCGGGUGAGGGCGGUGGGAGGGCGCGGUGCCGGCGCUGUGGCCAUGUCUGUGUACGCAGGGGGCCGGGGCCCCGCGAAGCUGUGCCCCCAGGCCGGACCCAGGCAGACAACCUUAUCCCCCCAGGGGUCCGGCAGAGGGCAGUGACCAGCCCCUUCUGUGCGUCCUGGGCCCCUCUGAGAAACAGGAGAGCCCAAAGGAUGGCUGCUGACAUGCAGAGGAAGAGAAGCAGCGAAUGCCCUGAUGGCACAUUGACUCCUUCUGAUGGACAGAGUGUGGAGAGAGCUGAAAGCCCCACACCAGGACUGGCCCAGGGAAUGGAGCCAGGUGCUGGGCAGGAGGGUGCCAUGUUCGUCCAUGCCCGUUCCUACGAGGACCUGACUGAGUCAGAGGAUGGGGCAGCUUCCGGGGACAGCCCCAAGGAGGGUGCCAGGGGUCCCCCACCGCUGCCUGCAGACAUGCACCAGAUCAGCCAGGACUUUAGCGAGCUAAGCACCCAGCUGACGGGUGUGGCCCGGGACCUGCAGGAAGAGAUGCUGCCAGGAAGCUCUGAGGAUUGGCUGGAAUCCCCAGGGGCAGUUGGGCGACCAGCCACAGAGCCCCCCAGGGAGGGCACAAACGAGGGGGAUGAGGAGGAUGCCACGGAGGCAUGGCGCCUGCACCAGAAGCAUGUCUUUGUGCUGAGUGAGGCAGGGAAGCCUGUGUACUCCCGCUAUGGGUCUGAGGAGGCACUUUCCAGCACUAUGGGUGUUAUGGUGGCCCUGGUGUCCUUCCUGGAGGCAGACAAGAACGCCAUCCGCUCCAUCCAUGCAGAUGGCUACAAGGUAGUAUUCCUACGCCGGAGCCCGCUGGUGCUGGUGGCGGUGGCUCGCACGCGGCAGUCGGCACAGGAGCUGGCACAGGAGCUGCUCUACAUCUACUACCAGAUCCUGAGCCUUCUUACCGGUGCGCAGCUGAGCCAUAUCUUCCAGCAGAAGCAGAACUAUGACCUGCGGCGCCUGCUCUCAGGUUCAGAGCGUAUCACUGACAACCUGCUACAGCUCAUGUCACGAGACCCCAGCUUCCUGAUGGGGGCGGCACGGUGCCUGCCCCUGGCGGCAGCCGUGCGCGACACUGUGAGUGCCAGCCUGCAGCAGGCGCGUGCGCGUAGCCUGGUCUUCUCCAUCCUGUUGGCCCGCAACCAGCUCGUGGCACUCGUACGCCGAAAGGACCAAUUUCUGCAUCCCAUCGACCUGCACCUGCUCUUCAACCUCAUUAGUUCCUCCUCGUCCUUCCGCGAGGGCGAGGCCUGGACGCCCGUGUGCCUGCCCAAAUUCAACGCAGCCGGCUUCUUCCAUGCACACAUCUCUUACCUAGAGCCUGACACCGACCUCUGCCUGCUGCUCGUCUCCACCGACCGUGAGGACUUCUUUGCGGUCUCUGACUGCCGCCGCCGCUUCCAGGAGCGCCUUCGCAAGCGCGGAGCCCACCUGGCCCUGCGAGAGGCGCUGCGAACACCCUGCUACAGCGUGGCCCAAGUGGGCAUCCCUGACCUGCGCCAUUUCCUCUAUAAGUCAAAGAGCUCGGGACUCUUCACCAGGGAAAGCAAUGGAAGUCAUUCCUUUACAAACCCACUCACCCGACCCCAUGUGCAGCCCGGAGAUUGAGGCCCCGUACACCAGUGAAGAGGAGCAGGAGCGGCUGCUGGGCCUCUACCAGUACCUGCACAGCCGUGCCCACAAUGCAUCUCGCCCACUCAAGACCAUUUACUACAUGGGCCCCAACGAGAACCUCCUGGCCUGGGUGACAGGCGCCUUUGAGCUCUACAUGUGCUACAGCCCCCUGGGGACCAAGGCAUCAGCCGUCAGUGCCAUCCAUAAGCUGAUGCGCUGGAUCCGCAAAGAGGAAGACCGCCUCUUCAUUCUCACGCCCCUAACCUAUUGAUGGGAAUGUGUGUAGGCUCAGCCUUCCUGGGCCUACUGGGUGUGGGAAGCCAUGGGAGCCUCCAGAUGGGGGAUGGCCUCUCUUGCCUAGCCAGCGGGCAGGGACUUUGGGUUGGUGAGUUCAUUAAAGUGCUUUGGGGAAGACA
Molecule: RNA transcript, 2412 nt
Organism: Cebus imitator (Panamanian white-faced capuchin)
Lineage: Eukaryota; Metazoa; Chordata; Mammalia; Primates; Cebidae
Gene: MON1A
Gene name: MON1 homolog A, secretory trafficking associated
Exons: 6
Source: RefSeq, a predicted model, not a curated record